UACGGAAGGCAGCGGUGGGGAAUAUUGCACAAUGGGCGCAAGCCUGAUGCAGCCAUGCCGCGUGUAUGAAAAAGGCCUUCGGGUUGUAAAGUACUUUUCAGUCGUGAGGAAGGUGUUAAGGUUAAUAACCUUAGCAAUUGACGUUAGCGACAGAAGAAGCACCGGCUAACUCCGUGCCAGCAGCCGCGGUAAUACGGAGGGUGCGAGCGUUAAUCGGAAUUACUGGGCGUAAAGGGCACGCAGGCGGUUAAUUAAGUUGGAUGUGAAAUCCCCGGGCUUAACCUGGGAAUGGCAUUCAAGACUGGCUAGCUAGAGUCUUGUAGAGGGGGUAGAAUUCCAUGUGUAGCGGUGAAAUGCGUAGAGAUGUGGAGGAAUACCGGUGGCGAAGGCGGCCCCUGGACAAAGACUGACGCUCAUGUGCGAAAGCGUGGGGAGCAAACGAGGGAUUAGAUACC
This 455-nucleotide ribosomal RNA is filed under the name uncultured bacterium. RNAcentral's name for it is "bacterial SSU rRNA". It matches the Rfam family "Bacterial small subunit ribosomal RNA", at positions 340 to 786 of the family's 1533-position model. The record is from RNAcentral.